GAGUUUGAUCAUGGCUCAGAUUGAACGCUGGCGGCAGGCUUAACACAUGCAAGUCGAACGAUGAUUACUAGCUUGCUAGUAUGAUUAGCGGCGAACGGGUGAGUAAUGCUUAGGAAUCUGCCUAUUAGUGGGGGACAACAUUCCGAAAGGAAUGCUAAUACCGCAUACGUCCUACGGGAGAAAGCAGGGGAUCUUUUGACCUUGCGCUAAUAGAUGAGCCUAAGUCGGAUUAGCUAGUUGGUGGGGUAAAGGCCUACCAAGGCGACGAUCUGUAGCUGGUCUGAGAGGAUGAUCAGCCACACUGGGACUGAGACACGGCCCAGACUCCUACGGGAGGCAGCAGUGGGGAAUAUUGGACAAUGGGCGAAAGCCUGAUCCAGCCAUGCCGCGUGUGUGAAGAAGGCCUUUUGGUUGUAAAGCACUUUAAGUGGGGAGGAAAAGCUAAUAAUUAAUACCUAUUAGCC
RNAcentral lists this ribosomal RNA (464 nucleotides) under Moraxella sp. canine oral taxon 017. RNAcentral's name for it is "bacterial SSU rRNA". It matches the Rfam family "Bacterial small subunit ribosomal RNA", at positions 9 to 469 of the family's 1533-position model. Lineage: Bacteria; Pseudomonadati; Pseudomonadota; Gammaproteobacteria; Moraxellales; Moraxellaceae. The record is from RNAcentral.